UUAAGAGGCACUUGAAGCUGCCACACACCUAUCUGAUGGAGUACAAACCACAUGACGCCUCUCUGCGAGACAACUCGUCCUACAGGAACACAUGGCUGAGAGGUUAAGCUUUAUGUCGUCAAAACUAGUCAUGGCCCUCGUUCCGAACUACAGUAAAUCCUUGUGGAUUUCCAGUUCUGACGUUUCAACCCAGCCAUGAUGUAUGAUUACUCUUUGUCAUGCUACUAUGUACUCUCCAAAUUUCAAAUGCUGAAGUAUCGACUUUUAUGAUAUUCGCCCCUAUGCCUGUAUUGGUCGACUCGUUUUGGCAACUACUCCGUAUUUAGGUGAAGAAACCUCAUUCUUGCUCUUUGGAUUCUGCUGAUAAAUAUGGCAGAAAU
This 380-nucleotide long non-coding RNA is filed under the name Triticum aestivum (bread wheat). RNAcentral's name for it is "long non-coding RNA (TAES_LNC003467)". The record is from RNAcentral. Lineage: Eukaryota; Viridiplantae; Streptophyta; Magnoliopsida; Poales; Poaceae.